RNAcentral lists this transfer RNA (84 nucleotides) under bacterium. RNAcentral describes it as "tRNA-Leu". It matches the Rfam family "tRNA". Rfam says of the family: Transfer RNA (tRNA) molecules are approximately 80 nucleotides in length. The record is from RNAcentral.
GCCGGGGUGGCGGAACUGGUUUACGCGCAGCGUUCAGAACGCUGUGGAGGCAACUCCAUGCGGGUUCGACUCCCGCUCCCGGCA